This 120-nucleotide ribosomal RNA is filed under the name Petromyzon marinus (sea lamprey). The record is from RNAcentral. Lineage: Eukaryota; Metazoa; Chordata; Hyperoartia; Petromyzontiformes; Petromyzontidae.
GCCUUUGACUAAAUCACCCCGAAUGCACCCGAUCCCAUCAGAUCUCAGAAGCUAAGCAGGCUUUGGGACUGGACAUUGCUUGGCUGGGCGACCCACGUGCACGUCAGGUUGACACAGGCG